UACGAUAUCAAUGGGCGAUACAUGCAG
RNAcentral lists this small RNA (27 nucleotides) under Bombyx mori (domestic silkworm). Its description in RNAcentral is "ovarian small RNA-21027". Lineage: Eukaryota; Metazoa; Arthropoda; Insecta; Lepidoptera; Bombycidae. The record is from RNAcentral.